Molecule: long non-coding RNA, 1876 nt
Organism: Lethenteron reissneri (Far Eastern brook lamprey)
Lineage: Eukaryota; Metazoa; Chordata; Hyperoartia; Petromyzontiformes; Petromyzontidae
Source: RefSeq, a predicted model, not a curated record
UCUCCAGCCGCAGCAGCUGCUACCCGAAGAAGCCAGCUUGGAACAAGAACAACGGUCCGUGUCACCGAGUCGAUCAUCUAGAAGCUCAAAGCAGACAUGGGUGCGGGAUUCCUUCUGCUGAUCCUGGCGGCUCUUUGCCUCUCAGCGAAUGGACUGUCGUCGACAACGGUGAUUGAUUCUACGACUGCUGAACUCUCAACCACCACCGCCAACAUAGCCUUCACCACCACAACCUCCUCCUCCACCACCACAACUUCCUCCACCACAACCUCCUCCACCACAACCUCCCCCGGCACAAUCACCACCACACCUGCCGCCUCCAACACCACCUCGACCGUCACUCCCACGACCAACUCAACGGCCGCCACAUCAAUCACCACGGCUCGGCAAACCACCGCCAAGGCACCGGCGAUGGCAACGGGAGGACUCUUUUCGGUGCUCCUCCCAGCAGCACUCGUCCUGGUUUCGUCGUGGUAGCAAGGGGACGCAUCCAGCCCUGCAGUUGGUUCCAACACCCACCCCAUGCCCCAUAACAACCCACCCCAUGCCCCGUAACAAUCCACCCCAUGCCCCAUAACAACCCACCCCAUGCCCCAUAACAACCCACCCCAUGCCCCGUAACAUCCACCCCAUGCCCCGUAACAUCCACCCCAUGUCGCGUAACAUCCACCCCAUGCCCAAUAAUAUCCAGCUCCUGACUCUUAACAUCCACCCCAUAACAUUCCCUCUGAAACCACCACCGCCAGCAGCAGCAGCACAUGGCUACACAAGGCACAGACCCAUCAUCGUUGAAUAUUUUUUUCACUCAGGCUUGUAGAGCCGGUUUAUGCACGGCUAACUGGACGUAAAAAAAUUCCACACCAAGUUGUGAUUUAAGAUUUAAUAGGUUGCAGAAAUCAAUCUUACAUCUAACAAACGUACGACCGGAAAGCAUCCCCAAAUGUACAAAACCGAAGCGCUGGUCUUCACCAAGCGCACUCAUUUUGAUGUCUGCAAACAACUCGCAAAAAAAAGAUAAAUAACUCGGCAGUUAAAUACAAUGUACAUGGCAACUGCGACGUUGUAAAUGGACCCUCGGCUUUGUGUCUGGCUUGUAUGCGAUGUCAAAAGCUACAACUUUGAUGCAUCCAUGUUUUAGUUUUGAUCACGCGGAGUUAACGUUUGUGUGUGUGGGGGGGAAUCGAACGCCGAAUAACAUUAUCGCAAGUACAAGUCACCAAUCCAGCCCUGAACGUGUUAUACAACAUUACGAUACAUCUACAUAAAGCAGUUCAGUAGCCUCAAAGGAAUAAUUCUAUCUUUAUACCAAAAAAAACUAAUAUAUAUUAUUUGUUGUGGCUUUUUAAAAAUGGUGGACACAUUUUAAAUAAUGCAUAAUCUUUCCAUAUUUAUGUUUCAUACUUUUUUUGGAGGGAGGGGGGGAGUGAUAUUUCAGGAACGGUUUGCUAAAUCACCUGUAUCCGGAUAUAAGAGGCGAAUUAAAGAAAUUGCAAUAAAAAACCAUACCGCGUGAUUCACAUUCCAGGGCCACCUUCUCAGUGAACGAUCGUGGCCGGCAAAUCGCCGACAGCAAUGCACGCGUUCCGAAAACAACAUCCGUCGAUUUUGUUACAUGGCGUGUACAGUGAAAACUAUGCACUGUUCAAUGAUCCCGGAGUGAUUUCCUUCUUAAAUUAAGAUAUUUGUGUGAAUCAAUGUUUUUACGCCAAUUUUUAUAGUUUACAAAAAAAUGCAAAUAAAUGAUAUUUGCUGUGCCAUUAUAUAAUGUACAUUGCAACCGGUGUGGGGAUAGCCGUAAAUUAAGCACUGAAAGCAAGUCCAUUAUUUUAUCGUCGAUUUGCGCUAUGCACUUUCUCAAUAAAUUGGUUUGGUUUUA